UCCGUAGUCAACAUUGCUUAACAUGAAAAGUAUGUGACUCUGUCUAACUGUUACUCUAGUCUAUGAAGCCUCUAAUGAAGUACUAAAAAUACUGACUGUCUGUAAAUACUGAAAGACUGUAAAGUAAUGAUAAUGCCCUGAAAGAACUAGGGCUCACCCAAUAGCUGGUACGAGAAUCCUAGCGCUCUGAACCGUCAACUUGUAAAUCAUUACCUGCAUCGUGAGAUGCAGGCCCUGGGCAAAAGGGGCAUCAGUACAUUUAAAUUGCACUGGUAUGUAAAGCAACUGAAAGAAAGAACUAUAAAUACUGAAACUGAACUGAUAACUGAGAACUGAUAACUAAAAUGAUAACUACUGAAACUGAAACUGAGCUGAUAACUGAUGACUGAAAUGAUAACUGUUGAAAAUGAAACUGAAAUGAUAAUUGAUAACUGAACAAAGGAAGUAAGGAUAUGAAUAUUCCCUCUUCUGAAUGAUGAACCACCUGUUUAUCUAAAUAAACUACGGCCUCGGGCCCAAUAUAUAUGUGCACAAGCUACGGCCUCAGGCCCAAGUAUACGUAUACAUAACUACGGCCUCAGGCCCAAACAUGCAUAAAGCAUAAACUAUGGCCUCAGGCCCAAAUACAUGUGUUCAACAUUCAGGGAUUUAAAUUCAGGAACAGAGAAUCAUAUUGUAAUAUGUGAUGCUGAAAUAGUGAAUCAUAUUGAGUUACAUGAUACUGGAAUACUGAAUAGGACUAGACUGAGACAUGUAUUCUUGAACUGAUUAUGAACACUGAAACUUUAAUUGUUUAUGACAUGCUGAGUAAUCUAGAUUGAGACUCAUGGGCAUCAAACCCGAGUCUAUAUUGAUUACGCACUGAGCUCACAACGUUCAGAAUGAAAGUCAUGAACGAGUUACGAAGUUAGGGAAUAGAAGUUCUGAAACUAUUCAAGGAACUAGGCAUAACUAUAUAUUUCUGAGGCAAUUAGUAACAUUGUAAAAAAAAAUAUAGUGUAGGGAGAAUCAUUAACAUUCCCAAACAUAGAAAGUUAGCCUCACAUACUUUGACUCCGGUCCUUUUAAGUGUAUCACAAUGUUCGUCGCCUCUUUCAAUGAUAAUCUAUGUCAAAAUAUAUCAAGAGGAACCAAUAUUAACACUAAUUCUCGUAUUUUAGUCACUUAGGCAUUUUAUCAAACACCUUAUGGGCGUAAAGCCUCAUAGCCCUUAGUAAUUGGUCUUUUCUUCACCAAGUUCUCAUUCUACUACUUCUAGGUGAUUCUACAAUCCCAAAUAGAUGUAACUAAUACCAUUUUUCAUCACCCAAAUGUUUACAACAAUCAUAAGUCAACAACCCAAAAUCCUAGCAUAGUUCAUAUGGUUCUCUUUAUCAAACCCAUUUACUAUUCUCCCAAGAAAUCAUCAAUUCAUAACUAUAAAUGAUUAGUGAGUAGAAACAUUACCUUUUUUGAAGUUCAAUCCUCUUGAAUUCGAGUUCUAGGGUUUCUUUUUUGAACAAUAAUGUCUCGAUCGAAUAUUUAAUGAUUUGAAGGAUUUACCCAGGUUAAUAAGGUGUUGGAGAAUUGAAAUUAACUUAAAAUCAUCUUUAGAACUCACCUUGGAUGAUGGAGGGAGGGGAAGUUGGGUUCUUGAGAGAUUCCCUUUAUUGAGCAAACUUACGUGUUUGAGGUGUGGGGGACGAGGUAGGGUUUAAAUAAGUGUACGCGUCCCAAAAAUUGAGGAGAAAAUAAAAGUAGCUCUGAUAAACAUCGUCGGCGCAGGGCAUCAUCUGAGGUGCUAAAAUAACUGUGCAAGGCGCCAUUAGAGGCGCCAAAACUACAGUGCCUUGCACUGUCAGUGGCGCUAAGGUUAAUGCCCUAGACAGUGCCUUGCACUGUCUAUGACCGUAAAUUUUCAUGGCCUUGCACUGUCUAAGACUAUAAGACGGACCUCCCAUAAACUUAGUCGAUUCUAUCGAAUUUUAUACACCUCACUCUCAGUCUUGAUUCCAAAAUAACUGUUUCCAUCCAUACUCAUC
RNAcentral lists this long non-coding RNA (2021 nucleotides) under Nicotiana tabacum (common tobacco). Its description in RNAcentral is "long non-coding RNA (NTAB_LNC002110)". Lineage: Eukaryota; Viridiplantae; Streptophyta; Magnoliopsida; Solanales; Solanaceae. The record is from RNAcentral.